Molecule: unclassified non-coding RNA, 268 nt
Filed under: Glomus sp.
Lineage: Eukaryota; Fungi; Glomeromycota; Glomeromycetes; Glomerales; Glomeraceae
Description: partial contains 5.8S ribosomal RNA and internal transcribed spacer 2
Rfam family: 5.8S ribosomal RNA (bases 1-71)
Source: RNAcentral
GUGAAUCAUCGAAUUUUUGAACGCAAAAUGAACUCUCUGGUAUUCCGGAGAGUAUGCGUGUCUGAGGGUCAGUUUAAAUAAAAAUCGGUGUGGUUGCUGACUUUCGUGGUGACGCACCGGAUUUGGGUCGGCUUGCCUUCGGUUAAGUGACCUAAAAUUCUGCAUGAUAUUUUUCGAACGUGUUUAAAUGAGUUGACGGACGUUUGCGAUAUAGAAUACUAGGUGUGGUAAUACUCAUGAUUCGCGCCUAUAAUUUGUCAUAAAAAGG